ACCAGCGACCCUCCGGGAUAGCGCGCCGGAGACUGGGAGCGCGGGGCGCCCAGGGACCCGGCAGCGGGGUGGGGUGGGUGGGACUGGAGGGGGAACCGGGCAUCUCUCUGCUUCCUGAGCGCAGAGGCGCCCCUCGCCGUGCCUCUCAGCCGCCAUCCCCCUGCCGCCAUUCCCGGCCGCCGCGUUACCCAAGCCAGGAUCGCCCCAUGGUCGCCCCAUGCGGAGGGCAAAGUCGCGCCGCGGACCUUGCGAGCCAGUGUUGAGAGCUCCUCCCCCCAUCUGCUACAGCCCCGGCAGUCCUGCGCAGAUUCUAGAAGACCACGCCUACUUCUACCCAGACUUGCAGCUCUAUUCUGGGAGGCAUGAAGCACCUACUUUGACAGUGGAGGCAAACGGAGGCCUGAGGGGGAAAAGCG
This 416-nucleotide long non-coding RNA is filed under the name Rattus norvegicus (Norway rat). Its description in RNAcentral is "long non-coding RNA NONRATT028263". The record is from RNAcentral. Lineage: Eukaryota; Metazoa; Chordata; Mammalia; Rodentia; Muridae.